This 904-nucleotide unclassified non-coding RNA is filed under the name Candidatus Bartonella gerbillinarum. Its description in RNAcentral is "partial 16S-23S ribosomal RNA intergenic spacer". The stretch from base 396 to 469 matches the Rfam family "tRNA". Lineage: Bacteria; Pseudomonadati; Pseudomonadota; Alphaproteobacteria; Hyphomicrobiales; Bartonellaceae. The record is from RNAcentral.
UUUCUAAGGAUGAUCAAGAAUUGGAACUCUUUAUCAAUAAAGAAUAUUCCUUUUUGAUCUCAUUAGACAUACAGGUCUUAAACAAUUUCGUUUAAGCCUUUGCAUAUGACACCACUCUUUAUGAACCCCUUCUUCAAAGAGAGGUUCCUCUUUGAUAAAAAGAGAUAGCCAACUUGAUGAGAAAGUUCUCCUAAGAGCCAAGUGUUCAUAUGUUUAAGUUAUACAAGCAGGCUAGCCGUCUUCGUUUCUCUUUCUUCAGAUGAUGAUCCCAAGCCUUCUGGCGAUCUCUUAAGUAUUAAGGUUCCCUCAUUUUUAAAGGGUGCUUUAAGGAAAAGAGCUCUAAAAAGCUUUUGUGUUAAGAGUAUGCCGGGGAAGGUUUUCCGGUUUAUCCCGGAGGGCUUGUAGCUCAGUUGGUUAGAGCGCGCGCUUGAUAAGCGUGAGGUCGGAGGUUCAAGUCCUCCCAGGCCCACCAAUCACUCUAUCAAUUUCAUAAAGCGCUGGCGGACUUACUUAUAGGCAAGAAGUCUAUAAACCGAUAAAGCCUAUAAAUUUGUAAGAAACUUACAUAACUUUCUGGGAAAGGGCCUUAAGUGCACUUGUAAAAGGACUGAAGAGUGAUGUGAUCACUUAAAAUGAGGUUACUCUUUGAGAGGUCCGUAGAGAAAAGACAUUUGUUUUGGCAAGGUGUUUACAAAGGGCAUUAAGAGAGGAGCUUUACUGUUUGCUUUCAGCAAUUGAGAGUCAAAGCUCUUUAAAGGUAAAGUAUCCCAUUUAAAUUGGUCUUUCCUGUAAGUCUUCUUAUUUUGAGAGUUUGGAAUGGGUUAUGCUAUUUUAGGGGCCGUAGCUCAGCUGGGAGAGCACCUGCUUUGCAAGCAGGGGGUCGUCGGUUCGAUCCCGUCCGGCU